UGGGGAAUAUUGCACAAUGGGCGCAAGCCUGAUGCAGCAACGCCGCGUGAGGGAUGACGGCCUUCGGGUUGUAAACCUCUUUUAGCAGGGAAGAAGCGAAAGUGACGGUACCUGCAGAAAAAGCACCGGCUAACUACGUGCCAGCAGCCGCGGUAAUACGUAGGGUGCAAGCGUUGUCCGGAAUUAUUGGGCGUAAAGAGCUCGUAGGCGGUCUGUCGCGUCUGCUGUGAAAUCCCGAGGCUCAACCUCGGGCCUGCAGUGGGUACGGGCAGACUAGAGUGCGGUAGGGGAGAAUGGAACUCCUGGUGUAGCGGUGGAAUGCGCAGAUAUCAGGAAGAACACCGAUGGCGAAGGCAGUUCUCUGGGCCGUAACUGACGCUGAGGAGCGAAAGCGUGGGGAGCGAACAGGAUUAGAUACCCUGGUAGUCCACGCCGUAAACGUUGGGCGCUAGAUGUGGGGACCAUUCCACGGUUUCCGUGUCGCAGCUAACGCAUUAAGCGCCCCGCCUGGGGAGUACGGCCGCAAGGCUAAAACUCAAAGGAAUUGAC
Molecule: ribosomal RNA, 549 nt
Filed under: uncultured bacterium
Lineage: Bacteria
Description: partial 16S ribosomal RNA
Rfam family: Bacterial small subunit ribosomal RNA
Source: RNAcentral